Molecule: transfer RNA, 70 nt
Filed under: Dipodomys ordii (Ord's kangaroo rat)
Lineage: Eukaryota; Metazoa; Chordata; Mammalia; Rodentia; Heteromyidae
Rfam family: tRNA
About the family: Transfer RNA (tRNA) molecules are approximately 80 nucleotides in length. Their secondary structure includes four short double-helical elements and three loops (D, anti-codon, and T loops).
Source: Rfam by way of RNAcentral
GGGAAUGUGGUUUAAUGGUAGAGUGCUUGCCUAGCAUGCAAGAAGCCCUGAGUUCAAUUCCUCAGCACUA